AGCAUAUCAAUAAGCGGAGGAAAAGAAACCAACAGGGAUUGCCUCAGUAGCGGCGAGUGAAGCGGCCAGAGCUCAGAUUUGAAAUCGCAGCACCAUGCUGCGAGUUGUAGAUUGCAGGUGGGAGAGUCUGCGUAGGCCGGUGUCGAAGUCCCUUGGAACAGGGCGCCACUGAGGGUGAGAGCCCCGUGCGAUGCCACGCUCUACGUUUUGUACUCCCCUCUGACGAGUCGAGUUGUUUGGGAAUGCAGCUCUAAGUGGGUGGUAAAUUCCAUCUAAGGCUAAAUACUGGCGAGAGACCGAUAGCGAACAAGUACUGUGAAGGAAAGAUGAAAAGCACUUUGAAAAGAGAGUGAAACAGCACGUGAAAUUGUUGAAAGGGAAGGGUAUUGGGCCCGACAUGGGAAUCGCGCACCGCUGCUCCUUGUGGGCGGCGCUCUGGGCUUUUCCUGGGCCAGCAUCGGUUCUUGCUGCAGGAGAAGGGGCUGUGGAAUGUGGCUGCCGCGCUUUGCCGGGGCAGUGUUAUAGCCACUGGGCCAGAUGCUGCGUGUGGGGACCGAGGACUGCGGCCGCAAGGUCUCGAAUGCUGGCACAACGGCGCAUUACCGCCC
RNAcentral lists this ribosomal RNA (608 nucleotides) under Pichia cactophila. RNAcentral describes it as "LSU rRNA". It matches the Rfam family "Eukaryotic large subunit ribosomal RNA", at positions 37 to 650 of the family's 3401-position model. Lineage: Eukaryota; Fungi; Ascomycota; Pichiomycetes; Pichiales; Pichiaceae. The record is from RNAcentral.